UACGGAGGGUGCGAGCGUUGUUCGGAAUUACUGGGCGUAAAGCGCGCGUAGGCGGGUCUUCAAGUCGAUUGUGAAAGCCCGGGGCUUAACUCCGGACGUGCAGUCGAUACUGUUGAUCUUGAAUACCUGAGAGGAUGGCGGAAUUCCCGGUGUAGGAGUGAAAUCCGUAGAUAUCGGGAGGAACAUCAGAGGCGAAGGCGGCCAUCUGGCAGGCUAUUGACGCUGAGGUGCGAAAGCGUGGGGAGCAAACAGG
This 253-nucleotide ribosomal RNA is filed under the name uncultured bacterium. RNAcentral's name for it is "partial 16S ribosomal RNA". It matches the Rfam family "Bacterial small subunit ribosomal RNA", at positions 524 to 776 of the family's 1533-position model. The record is from RNAcentral.